Molecule: ribosomal RNA, 463 nt
Filed under: uncultured organism
Description: bacterial SSU rRNA
Rfam family: Bacterial small subunit ribosomal RNA
Source: RNAcentral
GACGAACGCUGGCGGCGUGCUUAACACAUGCAAGUCGAACGGUGACCCAUCUUCGGAUGGCGAUCAGUGGCGAACGGGUGAGUAACACGUGGGCAACCUGCCCCUGACUCUGGGAUAACUCCUCGAAAGAGGUGCUAAUACCGGAUAUCACUUCCCACGACAUCGUGGGUAGUUGAAAGUUUUUCGGUCAGGGAUGGGCCCGCGGCCUAUCAGCUAGUUGGUGGGGUAAUGGCCUACCAAGGCGACGACGGGUAGCCGGCCUGAGAGGGCGACCGGCCACACUGGGACUGAGACACGGCCCAGACUCCUACGGGAGGCAGCAGUGGGGAAUAUUGCGCAAUGGGCGAAAGCCUGACGCAGCAACGCCGCGUGAGGGAUGACGGCCUUCGGGUUGUAAACCUCUUUCAGCAGGGACGAAGCGAAAGUGACUGUACCUGCAGAAGAAGCGCCGGCUAACUACGUG